Molecule: ribosomal RNA, 388 nt
Filed under: uncultured bacterium
Lineage: Bacteria
Description: bacterial SSU rRNA
Rfam family: Bacterial small subunit ribosomal RNA
Source: RNAcentral
GACGAACGCUGGCGGCGUGCUUAACACAUGCAAGUCGAGCGGUAAGGCCCUUUCGGGGGUACACGAGCGGCGAACGGGUGAGUAACACGUGGGUGACCUGCCCUCAGCUCUGGGAUAAGCCUGGGAAACCGGGUCUAAUACUGGAUAUGACUCCAUGACGCAUGUUGUGGGGUGGAAAGCCUUGUGCGGCUGAGGAUGGGCCCGCGGCCUAUCAGCUUGUUGGUGGGGUGAGGCCUACCAAGGCGACGACGGGUAGCCGGCCUGAGAGGGCGACCGGCCACACUGGGACUGAGACACGGCCCAGACUCCUACGGGAGGCAGCAGUGGGGAAUCUUGCGCAAUGGGCGAAAGCCUGACGCAGCGACGCCGCGUGAGGGAUGACGGCCUC